Molecule: non-coding RNA, 1424 nt
Organism: Elaeis guineensis (African oil palm)
Lineage: Eukaryota; Viridiplantae; Streptophyta; Magnoliopsida; Arecales; Arecaceae
Source: RefSeq, a predicted model, not a curated record
GCACCGAAUAUGAGAUCCCAUCAUCUCCCCCGUGUCGAUCCUAUCGGCUAGGGCUUGUUGCACGAGUGCGAGGAGGCCUCUAUCUCUCUGCUGGUGCUGCUUCUCGCUUCUCGCAUUCCUUCUCUCUCGAUCGAUCAUGGCGGAGCAGACGGAGAAGGCAUUCUUGAAACAGCCAAAGGUUUUCCUCUGCUCAAAGAAAGCUGGAAGGGGAAAGAGGCCUGGCAAGGGUGGAAAUCGAUUCUGGAAGAGUAUUGGUCUUGGCUUCAAGACACCCAGAGAGGCCAUCGAAGGUCUGGGCUUUUACAUUUCUUUUUCCCUGUUUUCAGUUGUAUGAGUGUUAGAAGUUUGAUUUCUAUGGCAUGGUUUGCAUGAGAGUAUAUGUAGUUUGCCUGUGGCUAUUGCUUUGUUUCUUUUUGUUUUUACGUUAUGGCAUUUUUUUCUGUGAUGCUUCUAUUCUAUAAUCUUCUCCAUUACUAAGGAUUGACUGAAAACAUACUAUAAACAAGGAAAGGACAGAUUUAUACCAUUUAUUGCUCAACCAAUGUUCCAAUUCCAAUGGCUCUAAUUGCUGUGUGUGUGGACAUUAGAAGCCAUCUGUCUGGUAGUUUUUCUUUGUACCUUAAAAUGAGAUUGAUGAGUUGAAACCUUAGAAUCUCGUUAGGUUCUCAAACUAUACAAAUAAAACACAUGUACAUGUGUACUGAUGGACAAAUUGUACACAAACUAGUUAUAGUUUGUUAUAACUAGUAAAUGAAUUUUAAGGCAACAAUAUCUAUUAUAAUUAGAAUAUACUUAUCUAAAAUGCCACUUAGUAAUAUUUUCGCAAGCGUUUCUAUCUUGUUAAUUUCAGUAAUGUAAGAUGCAGUAUAGCUGCCAUCGAGCUAAUGGGAAGAUUCUCUUGAGUAACCACUUCAUAUGGAGGAAAUAGAAGGUACAUGGCAAUGUUGAAGUCAGUGUUAAAGCUGUGAUUUAUACUCCAUAGAAUGAUAAUUCAUACUUGGGGAUUUAAAUUGACCAUUAGUAUAUGGCAUGACUUGGUGUUGAUUGGUCAAUUCAAGCAGGUCAGAACCUUCAAUGCGGCCGUCAACAUCAGUUAGUUUGAAUAAAAUGUGUCAUACUGGUUAUGGAAUAUAAUUCAUGCUGCUGGAAAUUGAAUAUCUGAUGUACCACUUGACUCAAGAAAAUUCUAGAUAAAGAAGGAAGAAUGUAAGGUCAGAGACUGUGUAUUAUACCCAUAUUUAAGGAUCAAAAAGAACUAGCCAACAAAGAAAUAGUAUAACAAUUGCCAGAAGUUGAAAUUUCAGCUUUUCAGUCAUCUCAUGCUAUAAACCCUCAAAACUACCAGAUGAUAUUUGAAAUAAAGUCUCUGCUUCCAUAUAAAAUAAUGUCAAUUCUCCUCUGAUUUAGGAUAUUGGUGCUCUGUU